AGUGAACGCUGGCGGUAGGCCUAACACAUGCCAGUCGAACGGCAGCACAGUAAGAGCUUGCUCUUACGGGUGGCGAGUGGCGGACGGGUGAGGAAUACAUCGGAAUCUACUUUUUCGUGGGGGAUAACGUAGGGAAACUUACGCUAAUACCGCAUACGACCUACGGGUGAAAGCAGGGGAUCUUCGGACCUUGCGCGAUUGAAUGAGCCGAUGUCGGAUUAGCUAGUUGGCGGGGUAAAGGCCCACCAAGGCGACGAUCCGUAGCUGGUCUGAGAGGAUGAUCAGCCACACUGGAACUGAGACACGGUCCAGACUCCUACGGGAGGCAGCAGUGGGGAAUAUUGGACAAGGGGCGCAAGCCUGAUCCAGCCAUACCGCGUGGGUGAAGAAGGCCUUCGGGUUGGAAAGCCCUUUUGUUGGGAAAGAAAAGCAGCAGGUUAAUACCCCGCUGUUCUGACGGUACCCAAAGAAUAAGCACCGGCUAACUUCG
This 490-nucleotide ribosomal RNA is filed under the name uncultured bacterium. RNAcentral's name for it is "partial 16S ribosomal RNA". It matches the Rfam family "Bacterial small subunit ribosomal RNA", at positions 29 to 505 of the family's 1533-position model. The record is from RNAcentral.